UGGGGAAUAUUGGACAAUGGGCGAAAGCCUGAUCCAGCCAUGCCGCGUGUGUGAAGAAGGUCUUCGGAUUGUAAAGCACUUUAAGUUGGGAGGAAGGGCAGUAAGUUAAUACCUUGCUGUUUUGACGUUACCGACAGAAUAAGCACCGGCUAACUUCGUGCCAGCAGACGCGGUAAUACGAAGGGUGCAAGCGUUAAUCGGAAUUACUGGGCGUAAAGCGCGCGUAGGUGGUUCGUUAAGUUGGAUGUGAAAGCCCCGGGCUCAACCUGGGAACUGCAUCCAAAACUGGCGAGCUAGAGUAUGGCAGAGGGUGGUGGAAUUUCCUGUGUAGCGGUGAAAUGCGUAGAUAUAGGAAGGAACACCAGUGGCGAAGGCGACCACCUGGGCUAAUACUGACACUGAGGUGCGAAAGCGUGGGGAGCAAACAGG
Molecule: ribosomal RNA, 429 nt
Filed under: uncultured prokaryote
Also listed under: 1 other name
Description: bacterial SSU rRNA
Rfam family: Bacterial small subunit ribosomal RNA
Source: RNAcentral